AAUAAGUGCAGCCAUGAGUUUCCGCUCCCAACUUUAAUCGUCCGUCUUAUUUGAAAUUUUUUUAUGAUUAGUAUUUUUGUUGUUAUGAUAUGAUAAAACAUGAAUAGUACUUUACUCGUGGCUUAUUUUUUAAAGUUUUUUCAAAAUUUUUUAAAAUAAAACGAACGAUUAAAGUUGGACACGGAAACUCAUGGCUGCACUUAUU
Molecule: microRNA precursor, 205 nt
Organism: Oryza sativa Indica Group (long-grained rice)
Lineage: Eukaryota; Viridiplantae; Streptophyta; Magnoliopsida; Poales; Poaceae
Rfam family: MIR812 microRNA precursor family
Source: Rfam